RNAcentral lists this ribosomal RNA (375 nucleotides) under uncultured organism. Its description in RNAcentral is "partial 16S ribosomal RNA". It matches the Rfam family "Bacterial small subunit ribosomal RNA", at positions 527 to 897 of the family's 1533-position model. The record is from RNAcentral.
GUAGGUGGCAAGCGUUGUCCGGAAUUAUUGGGGCGUAAAGCGCGCGCAGGCGGUUCUUUAAGUCUGAUGUGAAAGCCCACGGGCUCAACCGUGGAGGGUCAUUGGAAACUGGAGAACUUGAGUACAGAAGAGGAAAGCGGAAUUCCACGUGUAGCGGUGAAAUGCGUAGAAAUGUGGAGGAACACCAGUGGCGAAGGCGGCUUUCUGGUCUGUAACUGACGCUGAGGCGCGAAAGCGUGGGGAGCAAACAGGAUUAGAUACCCUGGUAGUCCACGCCGUAAACGAUGAGUGCUAAGUGUUAGGGGGUUUCCGCCCCUUAGUGCUGCAGCUAACGCAUUAAGCACUCCGCCUGGGGAGUACGGCCGCAAAGGCUGA